AGUGAACGCUGGCGGUAGGCCUAACACAUGCAAGUCGAACGGCAGCACAGUAAGAGCUUGCUCUUACGGGUGGCGAGUGGCGGACGGGUGAGGAAUACAUCGGAAUCUACUUUUUCGUGGGGGAUAACGUAGGGAAACUUACGCUAAUACCGCAUACGACCUACGGGUGAAAGCAGGGGAUCUUCGGACCUUGCGCGAUUGAAUGAGCCGAUGUCGGAUUAGCUAGUUGGCGGGGUAAAGGCCCACCAAGGCGACGAUCCGUAGCUGGUCUAGAGGAUGAUCAGCCACACUGGAAUUGAGACACGGUCCAGACUCCUACGGGAGGCAGCAGUGGGGAAUAUUGGACAAUGGGCGCAAGCCUGAUCCAGCCAUACCGCGUGGGUGAAGAAGGCCUUCGGGUUGUAAAGCCCUUUUGUUGGGAAAGAAAAGCAGCAGGUUAAUACCCCGCUGUUCUGACGGUACCCAAAGAAUAAGCACCGGCUAACCUCGUG
Molecule: ribosomal RNA, 491 nt
Filed under: uncultured bacterium
Lineage: Bacteria
Description: partial 16S ribosomal RNA
Rfam family: Bacterial small subunit ribosomal RNA
Source: RNAcentral